RNAcentral lists this long non-coding RNA (733 nucleotides) under Homo sapiens (human). Its description in RNAcentral is "HSALNT0144579". Lineage: Eukaryota; Metazoa; Chordata; Mammalia; Primates; Hominidae. The record is from RNAcentral.
AAAAGACAAGAACUUUGCCCUUGAUAGUAUUUCACAAUUCAUUGCACGAUUUCUUCUCUACUCCCACUCCCUAAACAACAUGAAAAUAAUGGAAAGAUGAAGAGGAGGAGCAAAUUGAAGUAAAUAAAUCUCUCUAAAACAACCUUCAUCCCCAGUUCAGCCUCAGAAACCAAAAAUCUUUUCCUUUUCCUUCUUAGUGUUUCCAUCGUGUGGCCUACAGGACCCUUUAUUGAAUAUGAACAUUUUCCAGCACUUUGACACCAAGAACAUUUGGGUUCUUUCAGAAGCCCAGCUUUAAUUAAGACACAGUUUACAGGACCUCAUUCGCACUCCAAUGACAAUGAAAGGAAGGGGGUGUUGGGCAGAGAAGCAAAGAGCUCCGGUUCUCACCAUCACAUGGUAGCGGGUGUAAGUUUGUUCCCAACAUACCAGACAGAGAGCAACUCUCACCAGAGAAGAUCCCAAUGUGUUUUAUGCUAGAUCUGACUUUAAUUAAGUGUAGACAAUGCUCCCAUCAGUGCUGGAACUGGCCCCGGUAACUUGCUUUAGCUGAUGGAAUGUUACCAAACACAACAUGAUCAAAGGCUUGAGAGAUGAUUUCCCUCCUGUGCUUCCGCAAUUACCAUGAAAAGAACAUGGCCUGGUGGUCCCUGAUCCCCAAAGAAUGACGGACACCUGGAAAAAGCUUGGAGUAACAGAUUCAUGAGCAAGAAUAAAUAAUUAUUGUUUUAAU